This 247-nucleotide ribosomal RNA is filed under the name uncultured bacterium. RNAcentral's name for it is "partial 16S ribosomal RNA". It matches the Rfam family "Bacterial small subunit ribosomal RNA", at positions 527 to 773 of the family's 1533-position model. The record is from RNAcentral.
GGAGGAUUCAAGCGUUAUCCGGAUUUAUUGGGUUUAAAGGGUGCGUAGGCGGUUUGAUAAGUUGGAGGUGAAAUGUUAGGGCUUAACCCUGAAACUGCCUCCAAUACUGUUGGACUAGAGAGUAGUUGCGGUAGGCGGAAUGUAUGGUGUAGCGGUGAAAUGCUUAGAGAUCAUACAGAACACCGAUUGCGAAGGCAGCUUACCAAACUAUAUCUGACGUUGAGGCACGAAAGCGUGGGGAGCAAAC